Non-coding RNA from Microcebus murinus (gray mouse lemur), 3171 nucleotides. The record is from RefSeq and is a predicted model, not a curated record. NCBI's taxonomy places the organism in Eukaryota, Metazoa, Chordata, Mammalia, Primates, Cheirogaleidae.
GGAGCCUUUCUGGAGCCCUGACGGGGCAGCCCACCGAGGUCUGCUUCUGUGAGGGACUGAGGCAUCCUCCCCGAAGACUCUCGCCCUACCUGGCUUUUAUGAAAAAAGUUGUCAUGUCAGGGAGGCCCACAUGGCAUAAAACUGAGGGUAUUCACUGGACAGCCACUAGCUAGGAAUUGAAGCCCUCAAUUCAACAUCCCAAAGGAACUGAAUCCUGCCAAUGACUGUCUAUAUGAACUUGGAAGAAGAUCCUUUCCCAGUCAAACCUUCAGAUGAGAUUCUAACCCUGGCCAACACCUUGCAUUGCUUGCUCAUGAGAGACCUUACAGCAGAGGCCUCCACUAAGCCAUUCACAGAAAAUGUGACACAAUGGCAGCACAGUUUUCACAGCCCUUUCUCUGAUCCUACACCUUGACAACAAAGGAAAGAGGAUGCAUAAUGAUGUUGGAAAACAAGCUCACCUGCACACAGUUACUACCUUGGCACAUUUCUGGGAGCAGGAACAAGCUAAUAGUCCUCAAGGUCAAUGAAUUAUCUUCCUCCACUCCACUGAAAUAUCUAAGGUGACAAGUUAAUUGUCUUUCUAAGACAGAAUAUUUCUUGAAUAAAUUAAUUAGCCAGCAUUACUUCCAUUUCUCCUAGGUUAUACAAACAAUUCAGGAUCUAUUCAGAGUAUGGAAGGUGGGACUAAAGAAAAGAAAUGUGUAUAAGCAAAUCAACAAUAAUGGGUUGAUAUUAAUGACCCCUUAAGGUAGAACAAGUCAUUGCAGCACAAAAGACUCUAUCACAUAAAUCCUGAAAUUAGAAAUGUAGAUUCGGGUGUCGGGCAGGUGGGAGAGGGGAGGAGGGGCAUGGCCAAUGUAUGUAACCUUAACAUUUGUACCCCCAUAAUAUGCUGAAAUAAGAAAAAAAAAGAAAUGUGGAUUUGGGGGAGUUUUCCCAUCAAAAAAGAAUUAGUCUUCCAGAGCAGGGACGAAGGAAUGAUAAGACCUAAAAAGAGCCUUUCUAAUUUGCUUUUGCAGUAUAAAAAGGGUUAAAGGUGCGCAUGUUUUCCAUUCCUAGCAGCUUACAAAGUUGAAGCUAGUACCCAGCAAAUGAUCCCCUGAUUCCUCUCUGGACUGACUUUUUCUUGAGGAAAACAAAACUUCAGGAGAGGUAUGUGUCUUCUUGUUCUCUUCCUCAAGGUUGGGAAGUCUGAAGUCUGCCCAGUAGUGUGAAAGGCAAGUGCUCUGGGCGGGUAAAAAUGUUAGCAGUUUGUUCAUUUGGUAGUUAUGAGGUCUUCUGGAAUCGCCUAUUAAAAGACAACCUUAAAAUGGCCAGUAUUUAUUUACAAGGAUAAUGGACAGUUGGUAGCAGAAGAGGAACUGAGGUAUGGGAAUGGAAGAUUCCAAGUGCCUCAAUAUGGUGAAGAGGAGGUGGAGGCCUCCAAAAUCUAUCUCUGAAUGUUUACUUCCUAUUCGUUGCAAGUAUGGACUCUGCUGAGAACCUAAGUCUUCCACACAACAGCUUAAGUCUAAGUCUAUACCUGUUUCCCUGUUUCUUUUUCAUAUGAAUUGCAUAAUAAGAUGUGAUAUAUCAAAACUACAUAAGUUAUAACUCUGAUUUUUAUCACCCUCAAUUUGCUUUCACAUUUUGGGGCAAAGUUUUAUCCAUGUAGAAGUUUCAUUGAGUUUCUAGACACAAAGCAAGAGGCCAAAGUACUUGCCCUUAAUAUCCUUUUUACAGAAACCCUGGAGCUAGCUUCACUGGCAUUGUAUGUGCCCUAAGGCAUUAUUACUUUUUAUGUCACUCAUAUUUUGUAAAUAGAAAGGUCAAUAAAAUCAAUUUCAGAGCCAGGACCAGAGUCUAGGACCCCUGACUCCCACAUAAUGUGAUUCAGUUAACAAGAUAUUGAAAAUAAACAUACUCAAACAAAAAUUAGAUUAACCCUAAAUUGACUUGCAGCUCACUGAUCAUAUGCUUAAUUUGAUUUCCAACCUGAAAUGGAAAAAUCUAAAGCAAGCCUACACGAGUCAUUCAUUAAAGCCCAUGUCACCGCAAACCAAACGCCUCCUUAUCUUCUUUGGCUGUUUAUUUUGUCCCCACGUCUCUCUCAGACACUCCAGAGUUGAACCAGCUUGCCACACCCCAAUUCUGCUGACUCACUUCUCAGUAUAUCUUAUGCGGAGAAAUAGUAUAAACAACAUAUGCUUCUAUUUCUUGUCUUCCUCAGUGAGGUCACACAAUAACAUUCCUUGGAGAAAAAGAACAGACUAAUGCCUCAGUACUAGGAUAAUUUCAGUUGUUUCCCACAUUUGGUUAAAUGUUUCUGUUUGUAAAAGAUCAUAAACAUUUGUGAAAUAGAAAUAAAAGACUUCAGAGAGAAACAGAAAGCAAAUAGUACUUCACAGGGCUGGCUUAAUGCAAAGUACAUCAAAGUAAAUGCACCUGAACUAGUUGUCGUGGAGGCUCAUGGUUUAGAAGACCCUGACUUGGUAUAAUAUGAACAGCAACAUCAAAGCAUUCUUGACUUGAACUAAGAUAUCUGAAAAGACAUGGAUCUUCAGAUCACGGAUGGGGGUGAGGGAUAAAGGAAUCUACAGAGACAGGGGACCUGAUCAAGAAAGUCCUUUUUAUUGUCUAUGGGGCCCUGAAACAUAAGCCAGGCUAAGGACAUCCACAAUAACUUUCAGCCUCAGCUAGACUUUUUUCAGUAAGAGCAGGUCCCUGAAACAGAAGGGCUGCAACUGGACCACACAUCAGGUCAGGAAAAAUAUUCCUACUUUCUACCUUCUGCUCUUGCCUUUGCCCUUGAAGUCCUGGCUUGGAAACCAGGACUUGCUCUGCUAUUUUCACUAGCAGAGGGAAGUUCUUCUCAAAAAAAGUCAAGUGAAUCUAUCUUGAUAAGUACAAUUGAACUAUGCUAAUUUUAGGUGACGUGCCCCCUGUGUUUGUGCCAUGUAUUUAUAAUCAUUUCAAACUGUUUUUAUAAUAAAUUAUUGUAACUUCACUAUAAAUCUCAUGAGUUACUCAAGUUAUCCCUACUUAGCAUUUGGGGAUAUAGGGAUAAAGAGCAUUUAAGUGAAGUACCCAAGGUCUCACAACACAGAACUGGAAGUAGAGCUGGGGUUUCCUGAUUCUUAUUUGUUCACUUUCAGGAACAUCUGAGUUAUACACACACACACACACACA